AUAUUAGGUCUUUGCUGGCACAAACAUGUUUUGUCUUUGUAUCCCCUAUACUUCCUUGAAGAGAAAAUACUUAGGAAUUAUUUGAUAAAUGGAAAAGCACAUGAAAGAAGGAUGUCUACCCCCAAAAAUAUAUAUAUAUAUAUAAAAUAUAUAUUAGUAAUAACAAACACAAAGAAAAAAACCCAGGUUAAAAAUUAAGUUUUUAAAAAUCACACCAAGAGCAUAUUACUUUUGUGUUAUUCCUGCCAAAAGUUCAUAAACUAAAACUAAACAUGAAAAAAGCAUCAACUAAAAACAAACCAAGAAACAAGCUAUAAAAUAAUUGGUCUCCAGCCUUCAAAUAUCUCAAAAUUGGGAAAAGCAAAGACUGAGGAACUCAUCCAGAUUAAAGCAGACUAGAGACCUAAGAACCAAAUGUAAUGUAUAAUCCCAGAUGGGACCCUGAUCAAUUCUUUUUCUUUCUUCAUUUUAGUAAUGAAUAAUAAUUAUUAUUGUUUUGCUAUAAAGGACAUUAUUGGGACAAUUGAAAUAUUAACAAGAUCUGCAGAUUAGCUAACAUACUGCAUCAAUGUUAAUCUCCUGAUAUUGAUCUUUGUUGUGUGAAUAGAUAAGAGAAUGUCUUUGUUCUUAGAAAAUGCUAGUAGCAUAGUCUCUUAGGCAUAAAGGGACAUCAUGUCUGCAAGUUACUCUUAAAUGCCUCAGAAGAAAAAAACACAUAUGAUGGAAAAAAAUAGUAAAGAAGAUGAGAUACAAAUUUUAACAAUUUGAGGAAACUGGAUGAAAGACAAAAGUUCUCUAGUAUUUUUGCAACUUUUCUAUAAUUCUCAAAUUGUUUCAAACAAAAAAAAGUACAAAAUGAUGUUAUUAAGAUGAAUAACACAGAGAAGAUGGAAAGUCAGAAAUUGUUUUAAAUGAUUUUGUGCACUUGUGUGUACUUUUGAAGAUAAAUGUACAUGAGCACGCAGUCAGGAGCUGCUGUUAGUAAGAGAAGAAACAGUCACUGUUGCUUUGGGAAUAGAGAGUAACCCUGAGGCAGAUACACCUCCAACAAACAGGCCCCCAUUCCUAACUGGAGAGCAUAUUCCUUUUCAAGGAAAAUCUUUCAAGACUUUUCUAUAAAUGCAUGAGACACUCAUUUCAAUCCAAAUCCAAUGUUUGGAACCAACACCCUUGAGAUUUAGUUUAUAUCCAAGUUGAGAAUCCUAAGCGGCAAUCUGGUUUGACUGCUAGAAGAUGAGCACCAACCCAGGAGCUCAGAGGUUUUAAUGAUCACAUGGUAUCCUCAAGAAUUAAUUAUUCUGGUAUCAAAAGAAUGCCAGUUCCCAAACCUCUGUACAUUCUUACAUACUGUGGCAAAUGUCUAAGAUUCAAAAUAGAUAACCUCUAACAGUCAAAGAACAUCCUCAUCCAGUCACAUCAUCAUACAGUACAUAUAUAGUACAUAAUGGAGGCUUGGAUUUAGUCCAGAUAUGCAGACUUAACUCUACACAACUAAUUAUAGUACGUGCCUUUUAAAACUCGGCUCAUUUUAUUAUUUAUUCAAACAAAAACAAUAUUCAAACAAAAAUCCAUAGUAUCUUGCCAACUAAAUGUAAAUUCCACUUAUGUUCCUAUAAUGGAAAUGAUUACAAACAUGUGAAAGGAAACCAAAUUUAAAUUCAGGAGGAAAACAACCAAACUGCUCAAUGCUAACCAGCUUAAACCUAUCAUCCUAAAGAAAACAAAACAGAUUUUGCUCAGCAACAUUGUAUUCAACACAUGGAAAUAAAUCUUUAUAAAAAGUUUCAGUAAUAUUAUUUUACAGGUAUUGGAUACAUACAAACAAUAUAUUUCUAUUUGAAAGUAUAGGAUUGUCUUUGCCUAAAAUACUGACAAAUUGCAUAUUUAAAACCUGUGGGCCAAAUUCUAUGAUAUUCAUUUUGUUUACAGACAAAUGGAAAUUUUAGAACCAUUAUUCCAUAAAGUGAACAGGAACAGCAGGACCAACAAAGAUUUUCCUUCCAUUUUCUUCCUGCAUGUCAUGAAGCAAGGUGGUGAAUGAAGCCAACGUUCUUGGUUCCAACUACUAAUUCCUCAAAUAUGCUUUCCAACUCUCUGCCUCUAGCUAUGAAGUUACUCUUAAAUUCCAGGCCCACAGUCCCCACAAUCUAGUCCAGAUCUUGGUUGGCUACAGUGUUGGUACCACAACUUACCUUCUUCUCUCCCAAACCUCCCUCCUCUACCUGUUUCAUACUUCUAGUAAUGCAGUCAACAUCCUCAAGCACACAAGCUCAAAACCACAGUAUUAGUUUUGACUCUUUCUCAUUCCUCUUGAUUUUUAGACAUAAUCAGUAGCUAAGUUAGCCAAUUCAAUCUUAGCAAUAGUUCCACAUAGGCCCUCUCCUCUCCAUUAUUACUAUUUCCUUAAUUGAGGUCUUCCUUUCACUCUGCAAUGCAACAACCUUUGUUUCCUCAACCCCAGUAUUUCACCUUUCCUGACACACAGCCUGUAAAUAAUUAUCCCUAUGGAUUUAAAAAAAAAAAAAGGCAUCCUGUCAAUGCAUAUUUGUAGUCUCCACCUAGCAGAGAACUUGGCAUAUAAAUACUCAAAUGUUCAUUGAAUGAACCAAUCCUCCCAUUCUCUGAAAGCAGAGAGCACUUUUUUCCAUGUCUCUUAUCACUUGUGUUCUACAAGAAUUAUUUAUAUACAUGUACAGGUCCACAAGUCCUUAUCUGAAUGAACUGCUUCAGGCUGAUGUGUUUUGGAAUUUGGAAUCAGAUUUUAGAAAGGAAAUAUAAUACAUAAAACAUGUAUUCCAUAUUACAAAAGGCCCCCAAUGGUGCAACAAUCUAUAAACGUGCAUAUUACUUCUAUACUUGUCUAACUCACACUAGCUGAGUUAAAGACAAUCAACAGCAUCAUAUAAGUUCAAGUCACACUUCACCACCAGUGAAUCAUGAGAAAAAAAACUGUUUAUUUUUAGAGCUUUUUGGUUUCUGGAGUUUCAGAUAAGAGUACCUAUGUUUUAAUUUUCAAGAGCAGACUAUUCUGUAGGCCACAUAAAUCCUCUGAUUCUUUAUCUCCCUUAUGCCUUUAUGUCAUCUUUCAUUUCCUCCGAUUUUUUACCGUUGCUUAGAACAAUAAAAUAGGAUUCAAAGGGUUUACUACAACAACUUCUGGCUGGGUUUAGAAAUUAAUAGUAAUAAAUACUAUAAAAUAUGUUAGUUAUUUAUGAAAUAUCUCAGUAUCAUAUUAUACUUACAUAUUUCACUCAUACUAAACAAAAAAUAAACAUCACUAUCCAUACAAUAAACAUUAUUUUAAUAGAAGGUAAAGCAUCAAUUUCAGAACCUUUUUUUUAAAAGGCAGCCAUACUAUUUUCUAAAACUAUGCUUUCUACAUGGCUUUUAGCACUCAUUCCAACAUAUACAGAAUCAGGCUAGUUAUUAUGUGUUAUUGACUAUACUAGAAGCUAGAAAUAGACAAACUGCAGCCAUUUCUCAGGAUUAAGCCCAAAGUCAAAUGAGAGAAAACAUACAAUUAUAAAUGACCAUAAUACAGUAAGAUAACUGUGACAAGCAACAGACUCUGCUGAAAGGGAAUUCAGGGACUUACUGCUCUACCUCCUAUCCAUUUUCAUCUUUUCAACCUAAUUGAAGAAUCUCUAGGAAAAUAAAGGUGAGGUUAGAAUAUUCCAUAAUUAAAGUGUGUGCCAUGAUUAAGGAUGUGAGUUACACAGCAGAUGCAAAAGAUCUGACAGAAUAUUUUUUCUUUAUUCUUUUUAUCCUCUAAUUUCUCUUUCUUCACAAAAUGGUACCAGGGUCUCUUUGGACCUCCACAUCAGUGAAAAGAAAUAUGACUGCUUUCUUUCUGCGGCAAGAUGUUUUAUAUUGGGUGCAUGGCACUCUAAUAGAUAAUUUCCCUAGAUUAGAUAAACAAACACCUUUGACCAUAAUCUGUAUAUAUCUAGAAAAUAGUGAUUUUAUAUUGAUAAUUAAGAUAAUCCAAAUUAUUGUUUUGGUAUGAAUAAAAUAAUUUUGUAACUGUCAAAUAUCAUGACUUAAAAAUACUUCAUUUUGACUUGAUGAAUUUGCCUUAUGUUUAAGAAGCUGAAGAUUAGAUAAAGAUGCAUAUAGCCAAGAUGACUGUUUAAACUACUUUCAAGGAUUACAAUGAAAUCUUAAAACAGGUUAUUUUCAUUUCAAUUGAUUCCCUACAUCUCUUACACACACACACAAACACACACACACACACACACACACACACCCCCCUUUGGACAUUCCCAAACCUAUUCAUUCCCACGGGAAAAGAAAAAAAACUUACCUAAAAAGGUAAGAUUUACCUACCUUCAAAGGUCUUUAAUUGUUAAAAAGAUACUUUAUUUACUAAGAAUUACCUUAGAAUAUUAUAAAAUCAGGGCUAUAACUUACUCCACUUAGCCCCAAUAUUUCCGCCUU
Molecule: long non-coding RNA, 4437 nt
Filed under: Homo sapiens (human)
Lineage: Eukaryota; Metazoa; Chordata; Mammalia; Primates; Hominidae
Description: HSALNT0093403
Source: RNAcentral